This is a non-coding RNA of Nicotiana tabacum (common tobacco), 962 nucleotides long. The record is from RefSeq and is a predicted model, not a curated record. Lineage: Eukaryota; Viridiplantae; Streptophyta; Magnoliopsida; Solanales; Solanaceae.
CUAUAUUUUACUUCCUCAUCUAUUUAUUUCUUAGAGUUUAUUCUUCAACUACUAUCUGGUCUACAUUUCUACUCACCAGCUGCUGAAAUGAAGAAACUGGUUUUUAAAUUAGAGAUAUAUGAUGACAGAGACAAACAAAAAGCAUUGAAAGUAGUAUCAGCUCUCCCAGGUACUAGUUUGACUGAUCAAUUUUUUCUUCCUCCUUUUAUUUGAUGUUUUUUUAAAAAAAAAAGUCAAACGGAUUUGAUUCAUCAAUUUCAUUAUUUGUUUUGUUUUGUUUAUUUUAUUUGAGAAAUUAACUAAAUUAAAAUAGCUGGUAGAUAUAUAUAAGGGCGGCAAGUGGGCCAGUCCUGGACCGGCACUGCCCUGGACCGUGGUCCAAACGGGCUAGGACGAACCGAUAUAUGUAGGCCUGGGCCGGUCUCAUGGCCCUGGGCCAAACGGGCCAUACAUAACUAAUGUAUAAUAUAUGUAUAUUGGCUAACGGGUGUUUAGACCAGGUGGGUUGCUCUGAUGGUAAGCACCCUCCACUUCCAAUCAAGAGGCUGUGAGUUCGAGUCACCCCAAGAGCAAGGUAAGAAGUUCUUGAAGGGAAUGAUGCUGAGGGUCUAUGGAAACAACCUCUCUACCCUAGGGUAGAGGUAAUGUCUGCGUACACACUAUCCUCCCUAGACCCCACUUAUCCUCCCUAGACCCCACUUGUGAGAUUAUAUUGGGUUGUUAUUGUUGUUGUUGGCUAACGGGUGUAAAUAUUUUUGGCUAAGCGGAAAAUAUGUUAAAAACCUUUUAUUUUGCAGGGUAGAAUCUAUUGCAAUUGAUAUGAGAGAGAAGACAUUAACAGUGAUAGGAUAUGUUGAUCCAGUUAAUGUUUUGGGGAAAUUAAGAAAAAAUUGGUAUGCUGAUUUAUUAAGUGUAGGACCAGCAAAAGAAGAUGAUGAUGAAAAGGAAGAUGAGAAAAAGGA